This 539-nucleotide long non-coding RNA is filed under the name Capsella grandiflora. RNAcentral describes it as "long non-coding RNA (CGRA_LNC001158)". Lineage: Eukaryota; Viridiplantae; Streptophyta; Magnoliopsida; Brassicales; Brassicaceae. The record is from RNAcentral.
CUCUUCUUCUUUUCCCUUUUGCGCUUUGCGUCUUCUCCUCUUCUUCCUUCUUCUUACUCUUAUCAUUGAAGCUUUCUCUUAUUGCAGGUUGAAUCAUGGUUCAACUCCAAUACUCCCUCUUUAAACUUUGGUUGAAACUCCCAAAUCAGUAUAAGGAUUUUGACAUCGACGUGGUGCUUUCUUAACCGGAAACAACGACGAAUCACCACCUUCUACGGCGAGCAUCUCUCUCCGCGUAGGUAUUCUUUCAACUUAUGGCUAAACAAACCUUAAAAUCGUUUCCAAACACGCAGACCGUUGGAAGUAGGAUUGAGUUUUGUUGGAGAAGGAUCCUUAGAAGAAAGAAAUUAGCCAUGGAUCGAUGACCCGAAGCUGUCCAACGGAGAUCCCAUCCCACCGGGUGAAUUCAAAGGCUAUGCCGUGAACUAGGAUGAUUCAGAGGAGCUAUCACUAUACUCAGGAAUCAGGUACAAUUGAUUUCGGUUUGGUUUUUAAUGGUUUUCGAAUUACAAUUGAUUUUGGUUUGGUUUAAAUUGGUU